UUUUUAUAUUAUGUUUUGUGUUUGUUUAUUUGAUAAAAUGGGUUAUUUUUUGGAAAAUUAAAUUUUAAUUAAUUUUAAUCAAAAUGUUAUUUUAUUUUUUACUAACCUACUAACACUUAAUGUUUUGUCUAACCAUCGUGAUUGUCGACAGAUUUUGUUUGCUCAAUACAAUGUAAUAUCUUAUGUUCAAGUCGAAACCAUUACUCGUCAUUCCUCAAUUGUGAUGAAAAGCAAAAAUGAUGGCCAUUCUAAAGUUCGGAUUGAUUAGAGAUAGACUUUAUUGUGUGAAAUAUUCAGUUAAAUUAGUAGUUUCACGAUAUUGCUUGGAAAAUUUGAAAAAAACAAAAUGGCCUCUGACCACAACUUCUUACACAAUACAAUGAGUGUAAAAAGAAUGAUGAGAGUAGAUUGCAUUUCAACAGAUUUCACAUGAAUGAGCGCAACCUUUUUAUGGCUAAUCUAAUCUGGUAAGGAUGAUCGUAUCGGGCUACUUACGGAGGCAAAUAAUCACGAUUAACAAUGAAAUCUUCCCGUCUGGUUUAAACAACUAAAAGGGGAAGAAACAUGGAAACAUGAGAUACGAAAUGCGGGAGAAGACAAGGAUUCAUUAUAUACUUUCAAUAGCGAAAUCAUGAAAAUCUAACAUCAUUUAAUCUCGUGUUUGUCUAUCAAGCUUUUAUACACAGAUUGAUGUCAUUCCUUAACUGCCAGUUUGGUAUAUUACUUCAAAAGGUUUGCCUUGGAUUUGGUCAGAUCUUUGGUCAAGCUAGAGAGGCAUUUCACAUCAAACAAGCCUAUGUGUUUCAAAUUUUGAUGAACAUAUCGUCAUUUGCUGAAUCCCAGCUCUUUUGGCAUUGACUUAACCUGAGUCGACUAUCAAGAACCAUUGAAAGGGAAGGAUAUUUGAUUAUGGAGAGUCCAAGCUGCAACAAAAGGAUAUUAUUUGAACUUUUCAACAAAUAUAUUUUCUCAUCCAUAUUUCAGUCUCUAAAUAGUUACAUGAAUUUACCAGAUUUGCUUCUAUGAUCACCAUGCUUUUGUUUAGGAAUCAGGAUGAAAAUUUGAUCUUUCAGCCAUAAUGGCUUAAUCUUGACCAAGUGCUUUUGAGCAAUAAAUGUCUCUUUGCUUGUUUGUCUGUAA
Molecule: long non-coding RNA, 1140 nt
Organism: Tetranychus urticae (two-spotted spider mite)
Lineage: Eukaryota; Metazoa; Arthropoda; Arachnida; Trombidiformes; Tetranychidae
Source: RefSeq, a predicted model, not a curated record